This 247-nucleotide ribosomal RNA is filed under the name uncultured Bacillus sp. Its description in RNAcentral is "partial 16S ribosomal RNA". It matches the Rfam family "Bacterial small subunit ribosomal RNA", at positions 796 to 1041 of the family's 1533-position model. The record is from RNAcentral. Lineage: Bacteria; Bacillati; Bacillota; Bacilli; Caryophanales; Bacillaceae.
CACGCCGUAAACGAUGAGUGCUAAGUGUUAGAGGGUUUCCGCCCUUUAGUGCUGAAGUCAACGCAUUAAGCACUCCGCCUGGGGAGUACGGUCGCAAGACUGAAACUCAAAGGAAUUGACGGGGGCCCGCACAAGCGGUGGAGCAUGUGGUUUAAUUCGAAGCAACGCGAAGAACCUUACCAGGUCUUGACAUCCUCUGACACUCCUAGAGAUAGGACGUUCCCUUCGGGGACAGAGUGACAGGUGG